This 570-nucleotide ribosomal RNA is filed under the name Methylobacteriaceae bacterium. RNAcentral's name for it is "bacterial SSU rRNA". It matches the Rfam family "Bacterial small subunit ribosomal RNA", at positions 196 to 786 of the family's 1533-position model. Lineage: Bacteria; Pseudomonadati; Pseudomonadota; Alphaproteobacteria; Hyphomicrobiales; Methylobacteriaceae. The record is from RNAcentral.
UUUGGGGAAAGGUUUACUGCCGAAGGAUCGGCCCGCGUCUGAUUAGCUUGUUGGUGGGGUAACGGCCUACCAAGGCGACGAUCAGUAGCUGGUCUGAGAGGAUGAUCAGCCACACUGGGACUGAGACACGGCCCAGACUCCUACGGGAGGCAGCAGUGGGGAAUAUUGGACAAUGGGCGCAAGCCUGAUCCAGCCAUGCCGCGUGAGUGAUGAAGGCCUUAGGGUUGUAAAGCUCUUUUGUCCGGGACGAUAAUGACGGUACCGGAAGAAUAAGCCCCGGCUAACUUCGUGCCAGCAGCCGCGGUAAUACGAAGGGGGCUAGCGUUGCUCGGAAUCACUGGGCGUAAAGGGCGCGUAGGCGGCCGAUUAAGUCGGGGGUGAAAGCCUGUGGCUCAACCACAGAAUUGCCUUCGAUACUGGUUGGCUUGAGACCGGAAGAGGACAGCGGAACUGCGAGUGUAGAGGUGAAAUUCGUAGAUAUUCGCAAGAACACCAGUGGCGAAGGCGGCUGUCUGGUCCGGUUCUGACGCUGAGGCGCGAAAGCGUGGGGAGCAAACAGGAUUAGAUACC